UGACACUCUCAUCUUCCUCCCUAUCUCUCUAUCUCUCUCACACGGACAAAGUACAAGCUGCGCCUCCGCCUUCCCACUGCCUCCCGUCGCUGGCGCAGGGACCCUCCCCCUCCCUUGCUGCGCGCUGCUUUGGCAGGGACCACCCCUCCCCUGCCUCCCAGUCCCCACCGCUGCUGAGACGCCGCCCUUCCCUUGCAUCUCCACCUCCAUCGAUGGAUGGAGGCGCACACUUCAGCUCCACCAGAUCCUCGGUUGCGGACUCGACGCGAGCGAUGGAGGGCUCUGCAGCGCCUAACUCCUCCUGCGGGAAAAGACGCGGAAUCGGAGCGAGCGCUGAUGAGCGCCAGCGAGGACGCGCUGCUCCGGUGGGUUGGGCGUAUCGCGAGCCUCACCGUGUGGCCAAGUACGACGUGCUCCAGAGUGGAGCGGUCGACGCCCUCCCCACCUCGCCCGUGUCUGGUAUUUCGUCAUCCGCCCUCUAUUCGGUUCAGCUCUGUUCCGCUGUGUGCGCCUUGACGCCGCCGCCCUAGCCGCAGCCCCACACCUCGCGCCACGGCCGCCACAAUCCCAUGGCUUGGCAUAAGUGUGAUCUAAUAAUUCAGAAAUGUUUUUCUGUAAUCAAUUGCUCAUGCAAUUCUAUAGGCUGUGGAAACUGCUCUUUUACACUGGUACAAUUGCAGUGUUAAGCUGUAACUUAUUUGUAGUUUAUUCACAAUGAGUACAUAAUAUCUCUAUAUAAUGCCACACCAAAAAGGCAUAUUUGAUUAGUCUUGUUUGGUCGAACAUUCUCACAUGUAAUUCUGGAUGCUCUAGCUGAUCUGUGUUCUCAUUUAUAACAAGAUGCAUUGUUGUAUAUCUGAACAGCAGGUUUAGUUCUGACAGAAAAAGCAAUAGGGCAGGUACAACAUGAAGUUAGGUUCUAGUGUUUUAUAUACAGUGCGGGUACAUCUUCCUUGCUUAGUCUAAUUGUGAUUGUCAAGUAUUCCUUGAUUGCUGAUUUUUUUUUUUGUGAAAUCUUCUUGUGCAUAUAUGAAGGGAAGCAAGCUUGGAUUCACUGAAUGAUGUGUACACACCAAGUGCGCCUCAGUUUCAUAAUAGCAAGCAACCCCAUUCUGAGGUUCUUCUGAUCAUGGCACUCUUAAUAAUUGAAGGGGAGAGUUGGUGUUCAUGAAACCAGAUUGCUUUGCUUGCUACAGAGUAUGAGCCACCAAGAUUUGUUUCCCGUGAGGCGUGAGCUGGCUUCCUACGCCCAGACGGUGGCUUGAUGUUAAGGUAAAGAAAAAUCUGAUCAAAGUUAGUACCUGAUCCAAGUUCGUUGGCUUGUGGUGAGGGCCUCAAUGUGGCAACGGCGGCACCCUGUGCUCGCAUCCGUGGGUCAGUAGGGCAGAUCUGCAGGCGGCCACGGCGCCCUGCCCUGACGUUCGUGGGGCAGCAGAGGUGGAGCGGACGGUGGCGCCGGAAAUCCUUGCUGGCAUCCAUGGGGCAGCAGAGGAGAGCGGCAAGCAGCGACAGCGGCCUGCGCUCGCGUCCUUGGGGCUGUAGAGGAGCGGACAGCGGCGGCUGAGUCCAGUGUUCGCGUCCAUUGGGCAGCAGAAGAGGAGAGAAUCGCGGCAACGUCGAUUAGCGCUCGCGUCCAUGGGGCAACAGCCAGCAGAGGAGGAGCGGCGGGCCGGUGGCGGGGAUCCGCACUGGCGUCCGUGCGGCAGCAAAGGAGGACAGACAAAUUGUGAUUGUGAGGGCAGAGAAAAUUACGGGAUUGAAAUCCCCUAUCCCCGCUAAUUGAGGACGAAGGGUUGCGGUGGGCAGUCUGCUCCGGCAGAACAUUUCAUCUGGAUUGUUCAUUUGUGUGGCAGACCCUUGAUGUAAUAUGGACCGCUAGAUGUGAUUUAAUUGAAUUGAUCGCCUCUA
Long non-coding RNA from Triticum dicoccoides, 1908 nucleotides. RefSeq lists it as uncharacterized. NCBI's taxonomy places the organism in Eukaryota, Viridiplantae, Streptophyta, Magnoliopsida, Poales, Poaceae. The transcript is spliced from 2 exons. The record is from RefSeq and is a predicted model, not a curated record.